Molecule: long non-coding RNA, 1044 nt
Filed under: Marmota monax (woodchuck)
Lineage: Eukaryota; Metazoa; Chordata; Mammalia; Rodentia; Sciuridae
Source: RNAcentral
AUUUGCCAGUUAAUCCCAAUACUAUUUUAUGAAUUCAUUGGUUAGAAAUUACAUAUUUGUCAUGCUAAAUUCCAAGUUGAAAUUUUGUUCAGAAAUGUUGCUGUAAGUUCAGUUAUUAUGAAAAAUUUUUAGUACUUCUUAGCUGGAGAUGCACAACUAUAAUCCCAGUAACUCAAGAGGCAGAGGCUGGAGGAAUGUAAAUUUGAGGUCAGCAAUUUAGCAAGACCCUAACUAAAUUGCUAAGUUGGGAGACCUUAAGCAACUUAAAAGAUCAGGCAUAUAGCUCAGGAUAAAAGUGCCUCUGGGUUUAAUUCCCAGCAACUCCCCAAAGUUACAGUAUUUCUUGUUAUAUGAACUAUCAUUUCAAAUCAUUAUAAUUCAGUACAGUAUAAUUAGUAGUGAAAUUACAUCAAGAAUUUAAAAAAUUUCUCAGUGAAUCAAAAGCUAUUCUAGAGAAUGAAACUGAGGCAUGUGCCAGUAAAAGGAUAGAACUGGAGACUGUCAUGCUUGGUGAAAUAAGCCAAUUCCAGAAAAACCAAAAGCCAAAUAUUCUCUUUGAUAUGUAGAUGCUAACACACAAUAAGGAAGGAGGAGAGAAGAAUGGAAGUUUAUUGGAUUAUACAAGGGGGAAUGAAGGGAAGGGAGCAGGUAUGGGCAUAGGAAAGACAGUAGAAUGAAUCAGUCAUAACUUUACUAUGUUCAUAUAUGAAUAUACGACUAAAUCAUAUUCAACCACAAGAAUGGGAUCCUAAUUAGAAUAUGUUCCAUUCCAUGUAUUGUAUAAUAUGUCAAAAUACAUCCUGCUGUCAUGUAUGUCUAAAAAGAACAAAUAAAUGAAAAGCUAUUCUAGGAUAUUAUAAUGCUUUGGGGGGUGGUUCUUACUAAAAUAAAUUGUGAUUAGAAUGACAAGUUUUAGUACCAGUUUAUUGAUAAAUCUUGUUAAAAGGUUAGAUUCAUGUUCCACCAUAAUCAUUAAUAUUUCUUUAUAAAAUUCUAAGACAUUGUUGAUUUAAUUACAUCUUAUUUAAGUACUGAAAAUAUGUA